UAUUUUGUGCAAGUAUAUGCAAUAAAAUCGUCUGCCUAAGAAAAAUUGAAUUUUUUUGGUAAGUUUUUUAUGCUUUUGGAUGCGUUUUUGGUCAUAAAAAGGGUCUUCCUCUACUCGGAUCAGGGAGUCAAUUUUUUUCUACACUUUUCGGUGUAUUUUGUGCAAGAAUAUGCAAUAAAAUCGUCUGCCUAAGAAAAAUUGAAUUUUUUUGGUAAGUUUUUUAUGCUUUUGGAUGCGUUUUUGGUCAUAAAAAGGGUCUUCCUCUACUCGGAUCAGGGUGUCAAUUUUUUUCUACACUUUUCGGUGUAUUUUGUGCAAGAAUAUGCAAUAAAAUCGUCUGCCUAAGAAAAAUUGAAUUUUUUUGGUAAGUUUUUUAUGCUUUUGGAUGCGUUUUUGGUCAUAAAAAGGGUCUUCCUCUACUCGGAUCAGGGUGUCAAUUUUUUUCUACACUUUUCGGUGUAUUUUGUGCAAGAAUAUGCAAUAAAAUCGUCUGCCUAAGAAAAAUUGAAUUUUUUUGGUAAGUUUUUUAUGCUUUUGGAUGCGUUUUUGGUCAUAAAAAGGGUCUUCCUCUACUCGGAUCAGGGUGUCAAUUUUUUUCUACACUUUUCGGUGUAUUUUGUGCAAGUAUAUGCAAUAAAAUCGUCUGCCUAAGAAAAAUUGAAUUUUUUUGGUAAGUUUUUUAUGCUUUUGGAUGCGUUUUUGGUCAUAAAAAGGGUCUUCCUCUACUCGGAUCAGGGUGUCAAUUUUUUUCUACACUUUUCGGUGUAUUUUGUGCAAGUAUAUGCAAUAAAAUCGUCUGCCUAAGAAAAAUUGAAUUUUUUUGGUAAGUUUUUUAUGCUUUUGGAUGCGUUUUUGGUCAUAAAAAGGGUCUUUCUCUACUCGGAUCAGGGAGUCAAUUUUUUUCUACACUUUUCGGUGUAUUUUGUGCAAGAAUAUGCAAUAAAAUCGUCUGCCUAAGAAAAAUUGAAUUUUUUUGGUAAGUUUUUUAUGCUUUUGGAUGCGUUUUUGGUCAUAAAAAAGGUCUUCCUCUACUCGGAUCUGGGUGUCAAUUUUUUUCUACACUUUUCGGUGUAUUUUGUGCAAGUAUAUGCAAUAAAAUCGUCUGCCUAAGAAAAAUUGAAUUUUUUUGGUAAGUUUUUUAUGCUUUUGGAUGCGUUUUUGGACAUAAAAAGGGUCUUCCUCUACUCGGAUCAGGGUGUCAAUUUUUUUCUACACUUUUCGGUGUAUUUUGUGCAAGUAUAUGCAAUAAAAUCUUCUGCCUAAGAAAAAUUGAAUUUUUUUGGUAAGUUUUUUAUGCUUUUGGAUGCGUUUUUGGUCAUAAAAAGGGUCUUCCUCUACUCGGAUCAGGGUGUCAAUUUUUUUCUACACUUUUCGGUGUAUUUUGUGCAAGAAUAUGCAAUAAAAUCGUCUGCCUAAGAAAAAUUGAAUUUUUUUGGUGAGUUUUUUAUGCUUUUGGAUGCG
Molecule: long non-coding RNA, 1461 nt
Organism: Leptopilina boulardi
Lineage: Eukaryota; Metazoa; Arthropoda; Insecta; Hymenoptera; Figitidae
Exons: 4
Source: RefSeq, a predicted model, not a curated record